RNAcentral lists this small nucleolar RNA (107 nucleotides) under Gossypium arboreum. RNAcentral describes it as "Plant small nucleolar RNA R71". It matches the Rfam family "Plant small nucleolar RNA R71". From Rfam's summary of the family: R71 is a member of the C/D box family of snoRNAs containing the C (UGAUGA) and D (CUGA) box motifs. Multiple nearly identical copies of this snoRNA have been identified in Arabidopsis, and it is thought to function as a 2'-O-ribose methylation guide for 18S ribosomal RNA. Lineage: Eukaryota; Viridiplantae; Streptophyta; Magnoliopsida; Malvales; Malvaceae. The record is from Rfam by way of RNAcentral.
AACCCAUGAUGAGGGCACCGCCUCAAUAGAUCUUUGUAUCUCUCCCAUGCAUCAUAUAAAGUCUGUACAUCGAUCUGAACAAAGGAAGAGAUGUCAUUCCUCAACUU